RNAcentral lists this transfer RNA (82 nucleotides) under Helianthus annuus (common sunflower). RNAcentral's name for it is "tRNA-Gly". The stretch from base 9 to 79 matches the Rfam family "tRNA". Rfam says of the family: Transfer RNA (tRNA) molecules are approximately 80 nucleotides in length. Their secondary structure includes four short double-helical elements and three loops (D, anti-codon, and T loops). Further hydrogen bonds mediate the characteristic L-shaped molecular structure. tRNAs have two regions of fundamental functional importance: the anti-codon, which is responsible for specific mRNA codon recognition, and the 3' end, to which the tRNAs corresponding amino acid is attached (by aminoacyl-tRNA synthetases). tRNAs cope with the degeneracy of the genetic code in two manners: having more than one tRNA (with a specific anti-codon) for a particular amino acid; and 'wobble' base-pairing, i.e. permitting non-standard base-pairing at the 3rd anti-codon position. Lineage: Eukaryota; Viridiplantae; Streptophyta; Magnoliopsida; Asterales; Asteraceae. The record is from RNAcentral.
AGCAUCUAGCACCAGUGGUCUAGUGGUAGAAUAGUACACUGCCACGGUACAGACCCCGGUUCGAUUCCCGGCUGGUGCAUCC